GGAAAUAAAAGUCGUAACAAGGUUUCCGUAGGUGAACCUGCGGAAGGAUCAUUACAAAUCUUUGCGAGUGCUGCGUGCGCAAGUGUGCGUAGCAUUCACAUUAGCACAAGGUCUUGCGAUCUUGAUGUUUACGCUUGUUUGUUUGACAGAGUUAGUUGAGAAUAAAAAAGACAACUUUUAACAAUGGAUCUCUUGGCUCUU
This 201-nucleotide unclassified non-coding RNA is filed under the name plant metagenome. Its description in RNAcentral is "partial contains small subunit ribosomal RNA, internal transcribed spacer 1, and 5.8S ribosomal RNA". The stretch from base 1 to 54 matches the Rfam family "Eukaryotic small subunit ribosomal RNA", at positions 1778 to 1831 of the family's 1831-position model. The record is from RNAcentral.